AUGUUUUACCUUGUCGUUAUGGCUAGUCCUCCUAUCCUUAUUAUUACUCCCGAGCAUGAAAUCCUCAAUUUUAAGCAAAGGAAGGGACAAAAUUUAAAAGAUGCUUGGCAUAGAAUUCGCAAUGCUCAAAAUAGAUCUACUAGGAAGCUUUCUACUUCCGUUCUUCUCCGCAAUUUUUAUGUAGGCAUCACUCCUUGGAAUAGAUGUGUUCUUGAUACUGUUGCCGGAGGUGAUUUCUUGAGUAGCCAUACGUUUGAUGCUUAUAAUGCUAUGUUAGAUUUUUUUGGCCCACCACCUCUUUUGGUUAAUGGAACCGUUUUAACUUUAGAACUCGUUAUGCAACGGCUUGAUAUUAUUUAA
RNAcentral lists this ribosomal RNA (360 nucleotides) under Triticum aestivum (bread wheat). RNAcentral describes it as "partial small subunit ribosomal RNA". The record is from RNAcentral. Lineage: Eukaryota; Viridiplantae; Streptophyta; Magnoliopsida; Poales; Poaceae.